Molecule: ribosomal RNA, 433 nt
Filed under: uncultured bacterium
Lineage: Bacteria
Description: partial 16S ribosomal RNA
Rfam family: Bacterial small subunit ribosomal RNA
Source: RNAcentral
AACGAACGCUGGCGGCAUGCCUAACACAUGCAAGUCGAACGAGUCCUUCGGGUCUAGUGGCGCACGGGUGCGUAACGCGUGGGAACCUGCCCUUAGGUUCGGAAUAACUCCCCGAAAGGGGUGCUAAUACCGGAUAAUGUCUUCGGACCAAAGAUUUAUCGCCUUUGGAUGGGCCCGCGUUGGAUUAGCUAGUUGGUAGGGUAAAAGCCUACCAAGGCGACGAUCCAUAGCUGGUCUGAGAGGAUGAUCAGCCACACUGGGACUGAGACACGGCCCAGACUCCUACGGGAAGCAGCAGUGGGGAAUAUUGGACAAUGGGCGAAAGCCUGAUCCAGCAAUGCCGCGUGAGUGAUGAAGGCCUUAGGGUUGUAAAGCUCUUUUACCCGGGAUGAUAAUGACAGUACCGGGAGAAUAAGCUCCGGCUAACUCCGUG